RNAcentral lists this ribosomal RNA (471 nucleotides) under Tellimya ferruginosa. RNAcentral's name for it is "partial 16S ribosomal RNA". It matches the Rfam family "Bacterial large subunit ribosomal RNA", at positions 1827 to 2600 of the family's 2925-position model. Lineage: Eukaryota; Metazoa; Mollusca; Bivalvia; Galeommatida; Montacutidae. The record is from RNAcentral.
CGCCCUUUGAAGACUAGUAUAAGGGGUUGGGCCUGCCCGGUGGUUAGCUAAACGGCCGCAAUGAGUAGUUGUGCUAAGGUAGCGUAGUAAGUUGCCCUUUAAAUGGGGGAAGGAAUGAAUGGCUUGACGUAGGAGAUUCUGUCUCUUUUUUGAUUAGUGAACUUUUUUUUUCAGUGAAAAGGCUGAAAUUACAUAAUUAGACGAGAAGACCCUGUCGAGCUUGAUUAAGUGUAGAAUUUGCUUUUAUGUGGAAGUUUAGUUGGGGCAACUGAGGAGCAUGUGAAGACUCCUUCAAUCAUAUUUUAGAUCCAGAACUUCUGAUUAAGAGAAAAAGCUACCGCAGGGAUAACAGCGUUAUCUUUUCUAAGAGAACAAAUUGAAGGAAAGGUUUGCGACCUCGAUGUUGAAUUAAAGUUUCCUCAGGGCGUAGAGGCUCUUAGGGUAAUAUUGUUCGUCUUUUGAAACUUUACA